AACGAACGCUGGCGGCAUGCCUAACACAUGCAAGUCGAACGAGACCUCCGGGUCUAGUGGCGCACGGGUGCGUGCCGAGGGGGAACCUGCACUUAGGUUCGGAAUAACUCACCGAAGGGGGUGCUAAUGCCGGAUGAGGUAAUCCGACAUAAGAGUUAUCGCCUUUGGGUGGGGCCGUGUUGGAUUAGUUAGUUGGUAGGGUACAAGCAUACCAUGGCGACGAUGCAUGGCUGGUCGGGGAGGAUGACAAGCCACACUGGGACUGAGACACGGCCCACACUGCUACGGAAGGGAGCGGUGGGUAAUAUUAGAGGAUGAGCGCAAGCCUGACCCAGCAGUGCCGGGUGAGUGAUGAAGGGCUUAGGGUUGUAAAGCUCUUUUAGCCGAGAUGAGAAUGACAGUACCGGGAGAAUAAGCUCCGGCUAACUCCGUG
This 433-nucleotide ribosomal RNA is filed under the name uncultured bacterium. RNAcentral's name for it is "partial 16S ribosomal RNA". It matches the Rfam family "Bacterial small subunit ribosomal RNA", at positions 29 to 507 of the family's 1533-position model. The record is from RNAcentral.